CCUACGGGUGGCAGCAGUGAGGAAUAUUGGUCAAUGGGCGCGAGCCUGAACCAGCCAAGUCGCGUGAGGGAAGACGGUCCUAUGGAUUGUAAACCUCUUUUGUCGGGGAGCAAAAGACGCCACGCGUGGCGUUCCGAGAGUACCCGAAGAAAAAGCAUCGGCUAACUCCGUGCCAGCAGCCGCGGUAAUACGGAGGAUGCGAGCGUUAUCCGGAUUUAUUGGGUUUAAAGGGUGCGCAGGCGGAAGAUGAAGUCAGCGGUAAAAUUGGGGGGCUCAACCUCGUCGAGCCGUUGAAACUGGUUGUCUUGAGUGAGCGAGAGGUAUGCGGAAUGCGGAGUGUAGCGGUGAAAUGCUUAGAUAUCACGCAGAACUCCGAUUGCGAAGGCAGCAUACCGGCGCUCAACUGACGCUGAUGCACGAAAGUGUGGGUAUCGAACAGGAUUAGAUACCCCAGUAGUC
RNAcentral lists this ribosomal RNA (459 nucleotides) under uncultured bacterium. RNAcentral's name for it is "partial 16S ribosomal RNA". It matches the Rfam family "Bacterial small subunit ribosomal RNA", at positions 338 to 795 of the family's 1533-position model. The record is from RNAcentral.